RNAcentral lists this ribosomal RNA (467 nucleotides) under uncultured bacterium. RNAcentral describes it as "partial 16S ribosomal RNA". It matches the Rfam family "Bacterial small subunit ribosomal RNA", at positions 28 to 507 of the family's 1533-position model. The record is from RNAcentral.
GACGAACGCUGGCGGCGUGCUUAACACAUGCAAGUCGAACGGAAAGGCCUCUUUCGGGGGGUACUCGAGUGGCGAACGGGUGAGUAACACGUGAGUAACCUGCCCUUGACUUUGGGAUAACUUCAGGAAACUGGGGCUAAUACCGGAUAGGAGCUCCUGCUGCAUGGUGGGGGUUGGAAAGUUUCGGCGGUUGGGGAUGGACUCGCAGCUUAUCAGCUUGUUGGUGGGGUAGUGGCUUACCAAGGCUUUGACGGGUAGCCGGCCUGGGAGGGUGACCGGCCACAUUGGGACUGAGAUACGGCCCAGACUCCUACGGGAGGCAGCAGUGGGGAAUAUUGCACAAUGGGUGGGAGCCUGAUGCAGCAACGCCGUGUGCGGGAUGACGGCCUUCGGGUUGUAAACCGCUUUCGCUCAUGACGAAGCUUUGUGUGACGGUAGUGGGUAAAGAAGCACCGGCUAACUACGUG